AUUGAACGCUGGCGGCAGGCUUAACACAUGCAAGUCGAGCGGUAACAGAGAGAAGCUUGCUUCUCUGCUGACGAGCGGCGGACGGGUGAGUAAUGCCUAGGAAUCUGCCUAGUAGUGGGGGAUAACUUGCCGAAAGGUAAGCUAAUACCGCAUACGUCCUACGGGAGAAAGGAGGGGACCUUCGGGCCUUUCGCUAUUAGAUGAGCCUAGGUCGGAUUAGUUAGUUGGUGAGGUAAUGGCUCACCAAGACCGCGAUCCGUAACUGGUCUGAGAGGAUGAUCAGUCACACUGGAACUGGGACACGGUCCAGACUCCUACGGGAGGCAGCAGUGGGGAAUAUUGGACAAUGGGGGGAACCCUGAUCCAGCCAUGCCGCGUGUGUGAAGAAGGUCUUAGGAUUGUAAAGCACUUUAAGUUGGGAGGAAGAGCAGUUAACUAAUAUUUGACUGUUUUGACGUUACCGACAGAAUAAGCACCGGCUAACUUCGUG
RNAcentral lists this ribosomal RNA (490 nucleotides) under uncultured bacterium. RNAcentral's name for it is "partial 16S ribosomal RNA". It matches the Rfam family "Bacterial small subunit ribosomal RNA", at positions 30 to 507 of the family's 1533-position model. The record is from RNAcentral.